GACGAACGCUGGCGGCGUGCCUAAUACAUGCAAGUAGAACGAGUUGCGAACGGGUGAGUAACGCGUGGUAACCUGCCUCAUAGCGGGGGAUAACUACUGGAAACGGUAGCUAAUACCGCAUACCAUCGGAUGUGCCCAGAGGGGAUUAGCUAGUAGGUGGGGUAACGGCUCACCUUGGCGACGAUCCCUAGCUGGUCGGAGAGCAUGACCAGCCACACUGGAACGGGGAAACGGUCCAGACUCCUACGGGAGGCAGCAGUGGGUAGUAUUGCACAGUGGGCAAAAGCCUGAUGCAGCCAUGCCGCGUGUAGGAAGAGGGCCGUCGGGUUGUAAAGUACUUUCAGCGAGGAGGCGUUACUCACAGAAGAAGCACCGGCUAACUCCGUGCCAGCAGCCGCGGUAAUUC
Molecule: ribosomal RNA, 406 nt
Filed under: uncultured bacterium
Lineage: Bacteria
Description: partial 16S ribosomal RNA
Rfam family: Bacterial small subunit ribosomal RNA
Source: RNAcentral